AUGUGGGGCAGUUCAGCUUCUUAACAGUCCUUGGACAAUUUAUCAUUUUAUGUGACCUCAAAUCAGGUAGGACUACCCGCUGAACUUAAGCAUAUCAAU
Molecule: ribosomal RNA, 99 nt
Filed under: Cortinarius privignipallens
Lineage: Eukaryota; Fungi; Basidiomycota; Agaricomycetes; Agaricales; Cortinariaceae
Description: partial 28S ribosomal RNA
Source: RNAcentral